RNAcentral lists this ribosomal RNA (429 nucleotides) under Gemmatimonadota bacterium. RNAcentral describes it as "Gemmatimonadetes bacterium partial 16S ribosomal RNA". It matches the Rfam family "Bacterial small subunit ribosomal RNA", at positions 355 to 776 of the family's 1533-position model. The record is from RNAcentral. Lineage: Bacteria; Pseudomonadati; Gemmatimonadota.
UAGGGAAUCUUCGGCAAUGGACGAAAGUCUGACCGAGCAACGCCGCGUGAGUGAAGAAGGUUUUCGGAUCGUAAAACUCUGUUGUUAGAGAAGAACAAGGACGUUAGUAACUGAACGUCCCCUGACGGUAUCUAACCAGAAAGCCACGGCUAACUACGUGCCAGCAGCCGCGGUAAUACGUAGGUGGCAAGCGUUGUCCGGAUUUAUUGGGCGUAAAGCGAGCGCAGGCGGUUUCUUAAGUCUGAUGUGAAAGCCCCCGGCUCAACCGGGGAGGGUCAUUGGAAACGGGGAGACUUGAGGGCAGAAGAGGAGAGUGGAAUUCCAUGUGUAGCGGUGAAAUGCGUAGAUAUAUGGAGGAACACCAGUGGCGAAGGCGGCUCUCUGGUCUGUAACUGACGCUGAGGCUCGAAAGCGUGGGGAGCAAACAGG